This 212-nucleotide unclassified non-coding RNA is filed under the name plant metagenome. RNAcentral's name for it is "partial contains small subunit ribosomal RNA, internal transcribed spacer 1, and 5.8S ribosomal RNA". The record is from RNAcentral.
UCUCCGUUGGUGAACCAGCGGAGGGAUCAUUACAGGAUCGAAAGACUCCUAUAACCCCUGUGAACUUACUACAAAUACGUUGCUUCGGCGGGUGCCCCGGGUCUCCCGGGGCGUUCAGCCCGCCGGCAGCCUUCAAAUUCUGUUUCUUUGCGUUGGCAUCUCGAGUAUACAAAAAUAAGUUAAAACUUUCGACAACGGAUCUCUUGGUUCUG